Molecule: small nuclear RNA, 23 nt
Filed under: Arabidopsis thaliana (thale cress)
Lineage: Eukaryota; Viridiplantae; Streptophyta; Magnoliopsida; Brassicales; Brassicaceae
Description: snRNA_00784
Source: RNAcentral
GAAUAUUAAAGUCAGUUUAAGUG